AGUACAGUCAACUAAAUAAGUUAUCAGGCCCAUACCCUGAGCAUGAGGGCUAAAGUCCCUCCUAUACUA
Molecule: transfer RNA, 69 nt
Filed under: Monognathus jesperseni
Lineage: Eukaryota; Metazoa; Chordata; Actinopteri; Anguilliformes; Monognathidae
Description: tRNA-Met
Source: RNAcentral